RNAcentral lists this ribosomal RNA (253 nucleotides) under uncultured bacterium. Its description in RNAcentral is "partial 16S ribosomal RNA". It matches the Rfam family "Bacterial small subunit ribosomal RNA", at positions 524 to 776 of the family's 1533-position model. The record is from RNAcentral.
UACGUAGGUGGCAAGCGUUGUCCGGAUUUACUGGGCGUAAAGAGCGCGCAGGCGGCUGGUCAAGUCCGAUGUGAAAUCUCCCGGCUUAACUGGGAAACUGCAUCGGAAACUGAUCGGCUUGAAGGUGGGAGAGGGUAGUGGAAUUCCUGGUGUAGCGGUGAAAUGCGUAGAUAUCAGGAGGAACACCUGCGGUGUAGACGGCUUUCUGGACCAUUGCUGACGCUGAGACACGAAAGCGUGGGUAGCAAACAGG